CAAUAGCGUAUAUUAAAGUUGUUGCAGUUAAAAAGCUCGUAGUUGGAUUUCUGGUUGAAGCGACCGGUCGGGCGUUGAUUCGUCUGCACUGGAGUCGGUUUUGGCCAUCCUCUAGGAAAGUGCGUCUGGUAUUAAGUUAUCGGGCGUAUGAUCCUGGUCUUUUACUGUGAAAAAAUUAGAGUGUUUAAAGCAGGCCUUCGCCUUGAAUACAUUAGCAUGGAAUAAUAAGAUAGGACUUUGGUCUAUUUUGUUGGUUUGCAGACCGAAGUAAUGAUUAAUAGGGAUAGUUGGGGGUAUUUAUAUUCCGAUGUCAGAGGUGAAAUUCUUAGAUUUUCGGAAGAUAAACUUAUGCGAAAGCAUUUACCAAGGGUGUUUUCAUUAA
RNAcentral lists this ribosomal RNA (382 nucleotides) under uncultured eukaryote. RNAcentral describes it as "partial 18S ribosomal RNA". It matches the Rfam family "Eukaryotic small subunit ribosomal RNA", at positions 592 to 976 of the family's 1831-position model. The record is from RNAcentral.